UUCGCACAAUACAAAACGCCUGCAUAACGGUCUGGAGUGCACGGCGACUGUUUGUCCCCCCACCCCCACCCCGAUUUUUUCUCUUCCUCUACCGCCCCUUCGCUCCUGGACGAUUGGGAAGCGAUAUGGGCUUGUUCGGGCUGCUGUUGCUUAGAUGUCAGCACAUCAUCAGCGGACCGCGUGCCGAAAACGGCCUAGUGCAAGCGAAACACACUGGGGGACGUCGAUAAAGAAAAGUAGCCGCGCGCUUCAUUGGCCCUGUAUGCGUUUCCUCGUGGAGGGUUUCUCUUUCGUCCCCUCUCUUCGGCAUCUCCUCCGUUGCCGAGGCCGGCAGCGCAGACCGCGUGCAUUAUCACCGUCGAACGCCCUCUCUCCUACUCGGCCACGCGCACCCUCCGAUGGCCACACCUGCUUUGCAUCACCUCCGCCAUGGCUCCGUCCUCCUCUUCGGAUUCUACUCUCUCCCGUGUGUGUGCGUGACCUUCCGCCCCUGCGCGCGCACAAAACGGACACACGCGAACCACAUACGCAAG
This 533-nucleotide unclassified non-coding RNA is filed under the name Leishmania donovani. Its description in RNAcentral is "gene:unknown". Lineage: Eukaryota; Euglenozoa; Kinetoplastea; Trypanosomatida; Trypanosomatidae. The record is from RNAcentral.